Molecule: unclassified non-coding RNA, 293 nt
Filed under: fungal sp.
Lineage: Eukaryota; Fungi
Description: partial internal transcribed spacer region
Rfam family: Eukaryotic small subunit ribosomal RNA (bases 1-46)
Source: RNAcentral
AAGUCGUAACAAGGUCUCCGUAGGUGAACCUGCGGAGGGAUCAUCAAAGAAUUAUCAUAAAACCACAAGUGUUUUGGGGGGAGAAAAGGGGUUUCACGACCUUUUUUCUCUUCUUGGCACUUCAAACAAACGAUCGCAACUAAAUCAUUGCAGUGUGGCUUUUCAUUAAGCUGUCUCUGUGUGUGUGUCUUGGCGAGGGGGGAGAGAAAACUUGAAAAAAGUGUUUGCCUGAUAAACAUUGGAUUGGAAUAAGAGAAAUAUACAACUUUCAACAACGGAUCUCUUGGCUCUCA